CAUGCUGGGACAAUGAAAGGCAGAAAUGCUUUGCACAUCUAACAGGACAUGGUUUUGCAUCACUCAGAAGACUUGAUUUAAAUUGUCAUUUGGGACUGUAUGUGGUAUUGGUAAAAGAUGGUCUAUUUAAUAUAAACCAAACUUCUUCACUGUUUUGCACACCAGACUAAGUUGCCGCUACGACUCUCUUGUCUACUAGACUAUAUGACAACACCUUGUGGCUUAGCUGGGUGCCGCAUGCCUUUAACCCAGCAUUAGAGAGGCAAAAACAGCAGAGCAGGUAGAACUGGCAGCAGGUGAUGACGCAAGCUGUUGCUAGACCACUGUUGGGAGGAGCCUAGUAGAAUUGUCUGUAAGCCAACAAUGCCAAAUAUAUUUGAUUACAGGUGUUGUGGAGAACACAGAAGAGAUCUUAGAAAAUCUUUUGUUCUAGAGAUUAGCAGCAUGACUGGUGAUCAGACAAAAGUUUAUGAGAGGAAGAGUACCUGUGUAUGAUGCACACUGAUGUGUGUGGCAUGAGGCUCCAAGUCAGCAGGCAGCCUAUUAUUACUUAGUGGCUGAUGAAUCCAGAGUCAACAUUUGGAAGCUGAAGAAUGCCCAUCUUCUUUCAAAAUCUUUUGGCUUUUAAAAAGCUGAGCACAGCAAAGAGCUUUGCCAGCAGUCAGCUUCUUCAUGCAAAUGAACUAAUCCAUAAACAGGAGAGACUUAAAGAAUGAAGAAAACUGGAGAACGGGAGGCUGGACCCUGCAUGGCCUGGGAGGAGCAAGACAACCUGUGGGAGCCGAUUCUCUCCUUCCAUCAUGUGAGGUCCAGCUAAUAAAAAAUUCAGUUCAGAAGAGGAAUAAAUUGUUGGGACAUAAAUCUAUGACUGGAGUGUUUAUGUCUACUGUACAAAACAAAAUCCAUCUACAAGGCUGACCUCACUUGGAACUUGCUGCAGACUGGAUUAGCUUCCAUCUUGUAGUGAUCCUCCUGUCUCAGUAUAGACUACACCACGACACCUGGCUACCUGGAGUUUUUGGACCAUUGGGAAGUAAUAACCAUUAUGAAGACACAGUUUGGAAAAAAAAUCUAGUUCUUUUACUCUCUCUCUCUCUCUCUGUCUCAUAAUUUAGAUGGCUAUAUUUGGUUUUAGCAUACAAAGUAAUAGUUUCAUCAUAUUUUUUAUACAUGCAUGUUAUUAUACUUGUUCUAAGAGAAAGACUUUAAGUUAAUGAUAGUGUUAGAAAAGGAUUGUUCUUUAACUCUAUCUAAUUAAAUGAUGGGGUACUUUCCUUUGUGAUUGCUUUGGGCUCUAAUUACCCAUCACUAUUUCUCUGAACUUACACUAGAUCAAACAAACUUUGAUCAGAUUUCUAGUUGUCAUGUAUACAUUUUACUAGAAAGAGGUGGAGAAGUUAUUGUCAGUCAGAAGUUAUCUAUUAUCAUUCACACACUGUAAUUUGUAAUCAGAAGCAUUGACACGGCCUGUGUGGGGCAUCAUGGUAUCCUGAAGUUGAGAACUCCAAGCCUCAGAACUUUCAGUAAAGGGUGCCAACAAACAUCGGGGUCUAUACUGAGCUGCAGCUCUGUGUUAUUUGCUUUUCUGUUGCUGUGAUAAAACUCUAUGGCCAAGGCAACUCAUAAAACUGUUUAAUUGGGCUUAUGAUUUCAAAGGGUUGGGAUAGCUGAGGGCUCACAGAGGGAACGGUAAGAAUGGUAAGAGUCUUUAAAUUCCUUAAAGUCUGCCCCAGUGACAUACUUCCUCCAACAAGGCCACACCUCCUAAACGUUCCAAACAGUUCCACCAACUAAGAACCUAGUAUUCUAGCACAUGAGUCAGUAGGGGCACUUCUCAUUCAAACCAACAUAAGGUCCCAGUGUUUAGCAGGCAAAUAGACUAGGAAAAUCACUUAUUAAGAAAUAUAUUUUAUAGACUAGGGAGAUGGGUCAGUUGGUAAAGUACCUGCCGUGCAAGCACAACAACUUAAGUUCAGAUGCCCAGCAGCCAUGCAGAAAGCUAGGCGUGGGGGUUAGCUAGGCAAAAAGCUAAGACAUGUGCACUUUACAUGUGCACACAUCACACAGGUGCACAAUACCACACACACACACAUAAAGAAGAAAGGAAAAGAGUGUGCUUUAUGAUAAUGGCAUAGAUGUGUGAAGACACCAUGAUGAAGCUCAUUGUUAUGUAUAAUAACCAAAAAGGUAAUUAAAGAGAACAGAAAGGAAAUAUAGAUUAUUUUGCCUAAGGGAAAGGAAGAGGUUGUAUAAGAAUUGGAUACUGAGCUGGAGAGAUGAUCAACGCUUAAAGAGCAUAUAUCAAUCUUCUGGAGGACCUAAAUUCAGUUCCCAGCACCCACAUGGGCAGCUCACAACCACCCGUAACAGCAGCUCCAGGAGAGUCUGAUCCCCCGGGCCUUCUCUAGCACCAUACUCAUAUGCACAUGCCAUAAAGGAAUAUAACAAGUAUACAUCAUUAGAAAUAACAAAGUAAAUCUUAAAAGAAAAAAAAAAGAACAUUAAAGGCAAGUUCUAGGGACAGGCAAAGUUAGUGGUGAAAUAAAUGCCAAGCUAGUAGCUUAAGAAAACUUUAUUUAAAAAGUAGUAAAGCUAGUAGUUUCAUUAUUUAUAGUAAAAGCCAUGGACUUUAUCUAUGUCUACCAAAAAAACUCCACAUAUACUUAAGUUUAUAGAGAUUCUAAUAUAGACUUCCACCUUACUCCACCAGAUGAGAGAAAAGGAGUGAGCCAUCAUCUUGUGAGGAAAACAGACACAGCAUGAAUAAGAGAUCCAGAAUUUGCCCCCACAUAAACGCUUGAAAUGUUUUGUUGUUGUUAUUGUUCUGUUUUCAAGAUGAACUUUCUCUGUGUAGCCUUGACUAUCCUGUAGACCAGGCUGGCUGUGAACUCAAAAGACUCACCUACUUCUGCCUCCCCAGUGCUGGGAUUGAAGGUGUGUGCCACCACCACCACCCAUCUAAAAACAAAUCCAAACUCUUGAUUAUCAAUCAUCAACAUUCAACCUUUUUUAUCAUGUAAACAAAAGGAAUGAAAUCUGAAAAUCAGACAAAUUAUAGAGAAACAUCAGUGAAUAAGAAAGGGUUUCCUUUAUAAAAGGAGCUGGAGGGACUGGAGAGGUUGCUCAGAGGCAAUGCGCACUUGCUGCUUUUGUAGAGGACCUGUGUUCAACUCCAAGCACCAAGAUGGCAGCUGUCAAACAUAUGAAACUCCAGUGUUGGGGUCUCAUGCCCUCUUUGGGCCUGCUCAGGCUCAAGGCACACAUGUGGUGCAUCCACACACAUAAAAUAAAAUUUGAAGGGGUUGGAGAAAGGUCAAGACUAGCUCUGUAGCAGAGAGCAUCCUUCUGAUGAUGCAAAGCUACAGCAAAGGCAUUCCUGAGCAAGAACCCGCACCAUUCCCACAGGGAGGGAGAGGAAUAUCCUUCAGUAUGCUUGCUCAUAUUUGGAUUCCUCGGGAACUAGAAUAAUGCUGAAAUCUGAGUGCCCCGGGCUAUGACCCCACGUGCAAUGUGCAAGCAAAUGUUUCUCCUUGAACUUUAGUCAUCCACUGGGAGUUCUCUAUACAGUUUUCAGUCUAGCUCUUCUCGUUUUGGUCAAUGAGUGGGUUUAGAUUCAAUCUAUAAAUAUGCUUUGGGAAUCAUACAUCGUUACCCAUAAGCUAUGUCAAAAGUAUUGAGAACAAUUAGUGUAACUAUUCCCUUGAACUCAGCCUUUUAAAGAUAUAUAUUCUUUGUCUACUCUUCCUUCUGUAACUCCUCCAUACUGGCGCAUAUAAAUAUUACCGUAUUGAACAAACAACAAAUAUGCUCAUGCUUUCUCCCAGUUGUGCAUAUUUAUUCAUGAAAACAAUAUCUUAUAAUCCAGUAAUGGGGAUGGAAAAUUCUAAAGACUUAGCAAAAAUAAAAUAUUAAAUAAUAUAGUUUAUAGGAUCUAAAAGAUUGGGAAUAAUUAUGAUACAAAGCACAAAGAAGUGGAGGAUAGAAAACCCUGCCACUAAUCUGGUUUCAUUACUGUGUAUAGUGACACUUCAAGCCUACUUUUGACCUCUAUGAACCUAUUUUAAGAAUGUUUGGCGUGGCUGGAGAGAUGGCUCAGAGGUUAAGAGCACUGACUGCUCUUCUGAAGGUCCUGAGUUCAAAUCCCAGCAACCACAUAGUGACUCACAACCAUCUGUUAUGGGAUCUGAUGCUCUCUUCUGGUGGGUCUGAAGACAGCUACAAUGUACUUACAUACAAUAAAUAAAUAAAUCUUUUUUAAAAUGUUUGAUAGAGCUGGAGAAAUUGCUCAAUAGCUAAGAACACUGUCUACUUUCCCCUAGGGCCUAGGUUUGAGUCCCAGCAUCCUCAUGGAAGCUCACCACCAUCCGUAAUUCCAGCCCAAGAAGACCUCCGCAGGCACCUCACACAUAUGGGGCACAUACAUAUGUGCAAGCAAAACACUCAUACAUACUAAAUAAAAAUAAAAAUUUAAAUUAUCAAGAAAUACGGGUGUGAAUAAAUGCUAGGAUGCUUGUGUGUUCUAGACAUGGCGGGGUGCUGUACCUGUCAAAUCUCAACAGUACAGAUGAAUGAACAAGACCACACAGGACCACACAGCCAGGCAUAUCAACAUGGAGAUCUCACAAAGCCCCGCCCAUAGCUGAAGAGCUACAGCAGUCAAUGGAUGCUGAGAGAAGAAGAAUGACUUUUCCUCAGUGAUCAGCUCCCUCAGAGGUUAGCCAAAACCAAGCAACCAGCUCUAAAUGCACAACUGCGCACACACGUGUAUACACACACACACACGUAUACACACAUGCACACUACUAAAUAUAGAAUAUAGGAUAUAAAAUUUGUGUUUUAUAUGGCCUUCAUUUUAUC
This is a long non-coding RNA of Apodemus sylvaticus (European woodmouse), 4857 nucleotides long. RefSeq lists it as uncharacterized. The record is from RefSeq and is a predicted model, not a curated record. NCBI's taxonomy places the organism in Eukaryota, Metazoa, Chordata, Mammalia, Rodentia, Muridae. The transcript is spliced from 7 exons.